GACGAACGCUGGCGGCGUGCUUAACACAUGCAAGUCGAACGGAAAGGCCCUGCUUUUGUGGGGUGCUCGAGUGGCGAACGGGUGAGUAAUACGUGAGUAACCUGCCCUUGACUUUGGGAUAACUUCAGGAAACUGGGGCUAAUACCGGAUAGGAGCUCUUGCUGCAUGGUGGGGGUUGGAAAUCUUCGGCGGUCGGGGUGGGACUCGCGUCUUAUCACCUUGUUGGUGGGGUAGUGGCUUACCAAGGCUUGGCCGGGUAGCCGGCCUGAGAGGGUGACCGGCCACAUUGGGACUGAGAUACAGCCCGGACUCCUACGGGAGGCAGCAGUGAGGAAUAUUGCACAAUGGGCGGAAGCCUGAUCCAGCAACGCCGCGUGCGGGAUGAAGGCCUUCGGGUUGUAAGCCGCUUUCGCCUGUGACGAAGCGUGAGUGACGGUAAUGGGUAAAGAAGCACCGGCUAACUACGUG
Molecule: ribosomal RNA, 468 nt
Filed under: uncultured bacterium
Lineage: Bacteria
Description: partial 16S ribosomal RNA
Rfam family: Bacterial small subunit ribosomal RNA
Source: RNAcentral